This 465-nucleotide ribosomal RNA is filed under the name uncultured bacterium. RNAcentral describes it as "partial 16S ribosomal RNA". It matches the Rfam family "Bacterial small subunit ribosomal RNA", at positions 28 to 507 of the family's 1533-position model. The record is from RNAcentral.
GAUGAACGCUGGCGGCGUGCUUAACACAUGCAAGUCGAACGGAAAGGCCGAAGCUUGCUUCGGUACUCGAGUGGCGAACGGGUGAGUAACACGUGGGUGAUCUGCCCUGUACUUCGGGAUAAGCUUGGGAAACUGGGUCUAAUACCGGAUAUGACAAUCUCUUGGAUGGGGUUGUGGAAAGCUUUUGCGGUAUGGGAUGAGCUCGCGGCCUAUCAGCUUGUUGGUGGGGUAUGGCCUACCAAGGCGUCGACGGGUAGCCGGCCUGAGAGGGUGUACGGCCACAUUGGGACUGAGAUACGGCCCAGACUCCUACGGGAGGCAGCAGUGGGGAAUAUUGCACAAUGGGCGCAAGCCUGAUGCAGCGACGCCGCGUGGGGGAUGACGGCCUUCGGGUUGUAAACUCCUUUCGCAACCGACGAAGCUUUUGUGACGGUAGGUUGAGAAGAAGCACCGGCUAACUACGUG